UACGGGGGGGGCUAGCGUUAUUCGGAUUGAAUGGGCGUAAAGAGCGUGUAGGCGGCCCGAUAAGUCCGCUGUGAAAUCUCGAGGCUCAACUUCGAGCUGUCGGUGGAAACUGUCUGGCUAGAGUCCGGAAGAGGAGAAUGGAAUUCCUGGUGUAGCGGUGAAAUGCGCAGAUAUCAGGAAGAACACCCGUGGCGAAGGCGGUUCUCUGGGACGGUACUGACGCUGAGGUGCGAAAGCGUGGGGAGCAAACAGG
RNAcentral lists this ribosomal RNA (253 nucleotides) under uncultured bacterium. Its description in RNAcentral is "partial 16S ribosomal RNA". It matches the Rfam family "Bacterial small subunit ribosomal RNA", at positions 524 to 776 of the family's 1533-position model. The record is from RNAcentral.